ACUUGAAUUGAAGAGUUUGAUCAUGGCUCAGAUUGAACGCUGGCGGCAGGCUUAACACAUGCAAGUCGAACGGUAGCAGGAGAAAGCUUGCUUUCUUGCUGACGAGUGGCGGACGGGUGAGUAAUGCUUGGGAAUCUGGCUUAUGGAGGGGGAUAACGACGGGAAACUGUCGCUAAUACCGCGUAAUAUCGAAAGAUUAAAGUGUGGGACCUUCGGGCCACAUGCCAUAGGAUGAGCCCAAGUGGGAUUAGGUAGUUGGUGGGGUAAAGGCCUACCAAGCCUGCGAUCUCUAGCUGGUCUGAGAGGAUGACCAGCCACACUGGAACUGAGACACGGUCCAGACUCCUACGGGAGGCAGCAGUGGGGAAUAUUGCGCAAUGGGGGGAACCCUGACGCAGCCAUGUUGGUGGAAUGAAAGAAACGUUACAGUGGUAAUGCUCUUGAGAUAUAUAGGAAAGUUGAAGGUUUAUUACCAAAUAAAAAUUGUGAGAUAUAAAGACGAAUCGAAAAAGAGCUUCGACAGAAGAACUUAAAUAAUGUUGAGGGUAAGAAUGUUGAUCAGGAUAAUAGGACGUAAGAGGAAGACUAAAAGUUAUUCACUCCAGUGGUUAAUUGCAAGGGGUUCAUUAAAGGGAUUUUCAAAUCCCUUGCAAGUACUUUUUGUAAAAAUAUUUAAAAAAAUGAUCUUUUGAUGGAAAUAUAAACAUUUCAUUAAAAAGUGCGGUGAAAAAUACAAUAAUUUUCCAGAUUAUUAUUUUUUCCAAUAGCUUGGAAUAAACAGCACGACUUAAUGAAAACUUCCCC
This 804-nucleotide ribosomal RNA is filed under the name Haemophilus influenzae 6P18H1. Its description in RNAcentral is "bacterial SSU rRNA". The stretch from base 13 to 560 matches the Rfam family "Bacterial small subunit ribosomal RNA", at positions 9 to 546 of the family's 1533-position model. The record is from RNAcentral. Lineage: Bacteria; Pseudomonadati; Pseudomonadota; Gammaproteobacteria; Pasteurellales; Pasteurellaceae.